GAUGAACGCUGGCGGCGUGCCUAACACAUGCAAGUCGAACGGACAGGCGCGGAGCUUGCUCGUCGGACGUUAGCCGCGGGGGUGAGAGAAACGCGUGUAUACCCUCCUUGUAAUUCUGGGAUCUCCACGGGACACCGGAGCUUAUACGAUAUAAGAUAUUGAACCGCGUGGUGCAAUGGUGAAAGACGGCGGUGCGGGCACUGAUAGAUGGAUCCGAGCCGGAUUAGCUAGUUGGUAAGGUCAAGGCUUUCCACGGGGACGAUGCGUAGGCGAACGGAGAGAGUGAUCGGCCACACUGGAACGGAGACACGGUCCAGACGCCUACGGGAGGCAGCAGUAGGGAAUGUUCGGCAAUGGGCGAAAGCCUGACGGAGCAACGCCGCGUGAGUGAUGAAGGCCUUCGGAUCGUAAAGCUCUGUUAUGAGGGAAGAACAGAUGUGUAAGUAAACAUGCAGGUCUUGACGGUACCGAAUCAGAAAGCAACGGCUAACUACGUG
Molecule: ribosomal RNA, 497 nt
Filed under: uncultured bacterium
Lineage: Bacteria
Description: partial 16S ribosomal RNA
Rfam family: Bacterial small subunit ribosomal RNA
Source: RNAcentral